RNAcentral lists this microRNA (22 nucleotides) under Bos taurus (domestic cattle). RNAcentral's name for it is "bta-miR-2450c (MIR2450C)". Lineage: Eukaryota; Metazoa; Chordata; Mammalia; Artiodactyla; Bovidae. The record is from RNAcentral.
CAUGUCAGUAGAGGCGCGUGUG